UAGUAUUAGUUGUGUUCUUGAAACUUAAAGAAUUUGGCGGUAUCCUACUCCGUUCAGAGGAAUCUGUCUCGUUAUCGAUAGUCCGCGUUGGACCUUACUUAGGGUUAGUUUUGGUUUGUAUACCGCCGUUUAUUGAUUAUCUUUUUAGAGUAUCAUGAAUUUUCUGGUUUCUUUAAUUUGAUUUAUUGCAGGUCAAGGUGCAGCUUUUUCUAAGUGUAAUGAUGGAUUACAGUGUUAUGUGUUGUUUGGAUUGUUUAUUUUAAUAUUGGCAUGAAAUUGGAUUUGGUUGUAAUGUUUUGUAGAUUGUUUUCAUGAUAGUUGGUUCUAGGAUAUGUACACAU
This 341-nucleotide ribosomal RNA is filed under the name Microtermes unicolor. Its description in RNAcentral is "partial 12S ribosomal RNA". Lineage: Eukaryota; Metazoa; Arthropoda; Insecta; Blattodea; Termitidae. The record is from RNAcentral.